CCUACGGGAGGCAGCAGUGAGGAAUAUUGGUCAAUGGACGAGAGUCUGAACCAGCCAAGUAGCGUGAAGGAUGACUGCCCUAUGGGUUGUAAACUUCUUUUAUAUGGGAAUAAAAUGUUCCACGUGUGGGAUUUUGUAUGUACCAUCUGAAUAAGGAUCGGCUAACUCCGUGCCAGCAGCCGCGGUAAUACGGAGGAUCCGAGCGUUUUCCGGCUUUAUUGGGUUUAAAGGGAGCGUAGGUGGAUUGUUAAGGCAGUUGUGAAAGUUUGCUGCUCAACCGUAAAAUUGCAGUUGAAACUGGCAGUCUUGAGUACAGUAGAGGUGGGCGGAAUUCGUGGUGUAGCGGUGAAAUGCAUAGAUAUCACGAAGAACUCCGAUUGCGAAGGCAGUUCACUGGACUGCAACUGACACUGAGGCUCAAAAGUGUGGGUAUCAAACAGGAUUAGAUACCCGUGUAGUC
RNAcentral lists this ribosomal RNA (460 nucleotides) under uncultured bacterium. RNAcentral's name for it is "partial 16S ribosomal RNA". It matches the Rfam family "Bacterial small subunit ribosomal RNA", at positions 338 to 795 of the family's 1533-position model. The record is from RNAcentral.